RNAcentral lists this long non-coding RNA (311 nucleotides) under Capsicum annuum. Its description in RNAcentral is "long non-coding RNA (CANN_LNC019275)". Lineage: Eukaryota; Viridiplantae; Streptophyta; Magnoliopsida; Solanales; Solanaceae. The record is from RNAcentral.
UGUAGCUAUAGACUUCAGUUUACCUUCAUUAGUCUUUAGCUUUUCUACCUCAUUGCCCAUACUGUCCACUUUCAGUGAAAGCGUAGUUAGGGUUUUGAGUAUCACUUCUAAUGUAUCAUUUUUGUUACAUUAGUCUGUGUAACUUUGUCUUGAUAUGUAAUCUGCAAUAACAUUCUUGUUAGUACUAAUUAUUUCAACUGUAAAUGUAAAAUUCAAUAUAUUUAAUACCAAUGUUCGUAUUUCUUUUGUUGUUACUAAAUUUUGUAUUUUCUUAAUUAGCCACCAUCAUACUUGUGUAUUAUCUGUUCUUA